GAAGAGUGAAACUACAACUUGCAUAAUGAAGUGGUUCAUAAGCUUCCUGCUUUUAUCGUCUUUGUUGAUGGCGACGGAAGGCCAGCAGCAGGUUAUCCGUGAAAAUGGAAAUCGACAAGAUUCCCCCGCCCCCCUCUGCCCCUGCUUCAACCCUCCAUGCCCGGGCUGUAAUGGGCCGAUACUCUCCAUUUUUACCAUUAAGAUUAGGUUCAAGCGAAAAGAACAUUGAUUGAACUUUGAACUUUUCUUCAUAGGACGGGGUCUGGCGUUUCUCACUAAUUUGGAUUUUUUGUGAACAAUACAUUUUUUUGGAAAUUUGACAUAUGUAUACGUUAGAUACGAAAUAAAAAAACAAAUGAUAAUAAUU
This is a long non-coding RNA of Penaeus chinensis, 367 nucleotides long. RefSeq lists it as uncharacterized. The transcript has 3 exons. The record is from RefSeq and is a predicted model, not a curated record. NCBI's taxonomy places the organism in Eukaryota, Metazoa, Arthropoda, Malacostraca, Decapoda, Penaeidae.